RNAcentral lists this unclassified non-coding RNA (391 nucleotides) under soil metagenome. Its description in RNAcentral is "partial contains 5.8S ribosomal RNA, internal transcribed spacer 2, and large subunit ribosomal RNA". The stretch from base 1 to 122 matches the Rfam family "5.8S ribosomal RNA", at positions 35 to 154 of the family's 154-position model. The record is from RNAcentral.
GAUGAAGAACGUAGCGAAAUGCGAUACUUGGUGUGAAUUGCAGAAUCCCGUGAACCAUCGAGUCUUUGAACGCAAGUUGCGCCCGAAGCCAUUAGGCCGAGGGCACGCCUGCCUGGGCGUCACACGUCGUUGCCCCCCCAUCUACUCCUUCGGGAUUGCGGGGGGCGGAUGAUGGCCUCCCGUGCGCCUCGCCGCGCGGUUGGCAUAAAUCCCAAGUCCUCGGCGACGCACGCCACGACAAUCGGUGGUUGCGAAACCUCGGUUGCCCGUCGUGUGCGGUCGUCGCGCAUCGAGGGCUCGAAAAAAUUGCCGGGUUCCGGCUCGGCUUUCAACGCGACCCCAGGUCAGGCGGGGUUACCCGCUGAAUUUAAGCAUAUCAAUAAGCGGAGGA